GAACGCUAGCUACAGGCUUAACACAUGCAAGUCGAGGGGCAGCAUGGUCUUAGCUUGCUAAGGCCGAUGGCGACCGGCGCACGGGUGAGUAACACGUAUCCAACCUGCCGUCUACUCUUGGACAGCCUUCUGAAAGGAAGAUUAAUACAAGAUGGCAUCAUGAGUCCACAUGUUCACAUGAUUAAAGGUAUUCCGGUAGACGAUGGGGAUGCGUUCCAUUAGAUAGUAGGCGGGGUAACGGCCCACCUAGUCUUCGAUGGAUAGGGGUUCUGAGAGGAAGGUCCCCCACAUUGGAACUGAGACACGGUCCAAACUCCUACGGGAGGCAGCAGUGAGGAAUAUUGGUCAAUGGGCGAGAGCCUGAACCAGCCAAGUAGCGUGAAGGAUGACUGCCCUAUGGGUUGUAAACUUCUUUUAUAAAGGAAUAAAGUCGGGUAUGCAUACCCGUUUGCAUGUACUUUAUGAAUAAGGAUCGGCUAACUCCGUGCCAGCAGCCGCGGUAAUACGGAGGAUCCGAGCGUUAUCCGGAUUUAUUGGGUUUAAAGGGAGCGUAGAUGGAUGUUUAAGUCAGUUGUGAAAGUUUGCGGCUCAACCGUAAAAUUGCAGUUGAUACUGGAUAUCUUGAGUGCAGUUGAGGCAGGCGGAAUUCGUGGUGUAGCGGUGAAAUGCUUAGAUAUCACGAAGAACUCCGAUUGCGAAGGCAGCCUGCUAAGCUGCAACUGACAUUGAGGCUCGAAAGUGUGGGUAUCAAACAGGAUUAGAUACCCUGGUAGUCCACACGGUAAACGAUGAAUACUCGCUGUUUGCGAUAUACGGCAAGCGGCCAAGCGAAAGCGUUAAGUAUUCCACCUGGGGAGUACGCCGGCAACGGUGAAACUCAAAGGAAUUGACGGGGGCCCGCACAAGCGGAGGAACAUGUGGUUUAAUUCGAUGAUACGCGAGGAACCUUACCCGGGCUUAAAUUGCAGAUGAAUUACGGUGAAAGCCGUAAGCCGCAAGGCAUCUGUGAAGGUGCUGCAUGGUUGUCGUCAGCUCGUGCCGUGAGGUGUCGGCUUAAGUGCCAUAACGAGCGCAACCCUUGUUGUCAGUUACUAACAGGUCAUGCUGAGGACUCUGACAAGACUGCCAUCGUAAGAUGUGAGGAAGGUGGGGAUGACGUCAAAUCAGCACGGCCCUUACGUCCGGGGCUACACACGUGUUACAAUGGGGGGUACAGAGGGCCGCUACCACGCGAGUGGAUGCCAAUCCCAAAAACCUCUCUCAGUUCGGACUGGAGUCUGCAACCCGACUCCACGAAGCUGGAUUCGCUAGUAAUCGCGCAUCAGCCACGGCGCGGUGAAUACGUUCCCGGGCCUUGUACACACCGCCCGUCAAGCCAUGGGAGCCGGGGGUACCUGAAGUGCGUAACCGCGAGGAGCGCCCUAGGGUAAAACUGG
This 1436-nucleotide ribosomal RNA is filed under the name uncultured organism. Its description in RNAcentral is "SSU rRNA". It matches the Rfam family "Bacterial small subunit ribosomal RNA". The record is from RNAcentral.